AAGAAACAGAAUAGCAGGGGACGAAACAGAGAAGGGAGAAAGGAAGAAAAGAAAAAGGGAACAAUAAGGUUUUAAAGGUUCCAAGUUAAUUUGCUAACAAGGAAAACGAGGCAUCGGCAUCUAAAGGAAAAGAAAAGAUCGUUGAGGAGUUAGCUCGAGGAAAUCGGUUUGUAUUUCUAUAUUCCGAACUCAGUCAUUAUUUGUUAUAUUUAUAUACAUAUGAAAAUUGUUAGUGUUAGAAUUAUAAUGUUUUACAAUUGAUAUGGAUUGAUUUUGGUAUGUGAUGAAUUUAUCAAAUUUAUAUUGAUUGAAAUCAUUUUGAUUGAAUUUAUAUUGAUUGAAAUAUAAUAUAUAUAUAUGAUUUAUGUAAAAAUUUGAAUAUUGAAUGAAUGUUAUAUUGAAAAAUUAUAUUGAUUGGAAAUAUGAGGGAAUUGAUAUGAAUAUAUGAGAUUUGUGAUAAUUGAAUAUUUGAUAUUGAAAAGUGAAUUGAGUUGUAUUGAAUUAUGAAUUAAUGUGAAUAAUUGAAAUAUAUUUGUUGAAUUGAAUGAAAAUGCAUGAUAUUGUGAAAAUGUGUGAAUAUAUGUGAUUAUUAGAAUGGUAUAUUGAUGAAAGAUUUAUUAAAUUGAGAAAGUGAAUCAAAUACCCUAUUAACAGUAUCGGACCAGAUUGGAUACAAAUGGCAUGCCAUUGGAUUUGUGAAGUGAUGAGGAGAUUUGUAGUUUGGCCGAGAAGAUGUUUCUGUUAUUAUAUACUUCGAUUUAUCCGAAGCGGCAUUUAAUGUCAUAUUGGUGUGUUUGGGAGGAUAUGAUAUACUGGUGUGUUAUGGAGGAUUUAUAAUAUUCCGGGUGUGUUUGGGUUGGAUAUUCUGGUCUGUUUGGGAGGAAUUUGCGUAUCUAUCAGAGUCCGAGUCUUGUUAAUAGGGGUAAAUAAGUGAAAAGAUAAAUCGAGUGAAUUUGAUUGAUUGAGCUAUUGGAAUGAAAUGAGAAAUUGAAUUGAGAAUUGAAAUUGAGAUAUGAGAUUGAAAACAUGAACCAAAAGGAUCAUGAAAUGAGUGAAGUUCAAAUGGAUGAUGAUCGAUGUUAGAAUGAAUUAAAAUGGUAUAUUGUUAAGAAGUAAAGUGUGAAUACAAGUGAAUUGUGAAUAUAUUGUAAAGAAUUUAUACGGUAAGCAAAUGAAAAGAAUUGAGCAAAUAUGUUGUUGUGUUUGUUAUAUGGCUUGUAUAGAAUUUUUAUGGUAAGUAAAUGAAACUUAUCUAUAAAAUAAAUAAAUGAAUAGUUAUAUUUGUUAUUGUGAUUUUAAGUUUAAUUGUUAUAUUAUCAAGUGUUCGGAUUAUAGAAAUACCACUGGGUAUACCAUACUCAGCGUACGGUUUGUUUCCGUGCACAGGUUAAGUAAAGAUAGAACGUUGAAUCAGCAUCCCAGGCCGAUCUCGAAUUCAAUGAGGUAAAGUGUGUUAAUUAUGGGUAAUGGCAUGUACCUAGGAUGUCUUAUGUGUGUGUCAUUUUGAAAUUGUAAAUGUAAGGAUGAAAUAAAUAAAUUUAGGUUUGGUUAUGGUAUAAGAUAAGAUUUGAC
This 1572-nucleotide long non-coding RNA is filed under the name Gossypium barbadense (sea-island cotton). RNAcentral's name for it is "long non-coding RNA (GBAR_LNC005257)". The record is from RNAcentral. Lineage: Eukaryota; Viridiplantae; Streptophyta; Magnoliopsida; Malvales; Malvaceae.